CCUACGGGAGGCAGCAGUGGGGAAUAUUGCACAAUGGGCGCAAGCCUGAUGCAGCGACGCCGCGUGAGGGAUGACGGCCUUUGGGUUGUAAACCUCUUUCAGCAGGGAAGAAGCGCAAGUGACGGUACCUGCAGAAGAAGCACCGGCUAACUACGUGCCAGCAGCCGCGGUAAUACGUAGGGUGCGAGCGUUGUCCGGAAUUAUUGGGCGUAAAGAGCUUGUAGGCGGUUUGUCGCGUCUGCCGUGAAAAUCCGGGGCUCAACCCCGGACUUGCGGUGGGUACGGGCAGACUAGAGUGUGGUAGGGGAGACUGGAAUUCCUGGUGUAGCGGUGAAAUGCGCAGAUAUCAGGAGGAACACCGAUGGCGAAGGCAGGUCUCUGGGCCAUUACUGACGCUGAGAAGCGAAAGCAUGGGGAGCGAACAGGAUUAGAUACCCUGGUAGUCCAUGCCGUAAACGUUGGGAACUAGGUGUGGGCCUCAUUCCACGAGGUCCGUGCCGCAGCUAACGCAUUAAGUUCCCCGCCUGGGGAGUACGGCCGCAAGGCUAAAACUACGAAAGUAGUGACGCGNGAGAGCGACGACGACGACGACGAGGAGAG
RNAcentral lists this ribosomal RNA (600 nucleotides) under uncultured bacterium. RNAcentral's name for it is "bacterial SSU rRNA". It matches the Rfam family "Bacterial small subunit ribosomal RNA", at positions 338 to 948 of the family's 1533-position model. The record is from RNAcentral.